AGUGAACGCUGGCGGUAGGCCUAACACAUGCAAGUCGAACGGCAGCACAGGAGAGCUUGCUCUCUGGGUGGCGAGUGGCGGACGGGUGAGGAAUACAUCGGAAUCUACUCUGUCGUGGGGGAUAACGUAGGGAAACUUACGCUAAUACCGCAUACGACCUACGGGUGAAAGCAGGGGAUCUUCGGACCUUGCGCGAUUGAAUGAGCCGAUGUCGGAGUUAGCUAGUUGGCGGGGUAAAGGCCCACCAAGGCGACGAUCCGUAGCUGGUCUGAGAGGAUGAUCAGCCACCCUGGAACGGGGACACGGUCCAGACUCCUACGGAAGGCAGCAGUGGGGAAUAUUGGACAAUGGGCGCAAGCCUGAUCCAGCCAUACCGCGUGGGUGAAGAAGGCCUUCGGGUUGUAAAGCCCUUUUGUUGGGAAAGAAAUCCAGCUGGCUAAUACCCGGUUGGGAUGACGGUACCCAAAGAAUAAGCACCGGCUAACUUCGUGCCAGCCGCCGCCGUAA
Molecule: ribosomal RNA, 507 nt
Filed under: uncultured bacterium
Lineage: Bacteria
Description: partial 16S ribosomal RNA
Rfam family: Bacterial small subunit ribosomal RNA
Source: RNAcentral